GCUGGCACACCAGCACCAAAAGACGAUCAGCAUUGCCAUCUCUGUCGUCAACCCAGAUCUGGUUGGGAUUCUCUACCAGAGCCCGCAACGAAGACAUCUCGGCCACGUUCGAAUGAUUGUUCCAAAUAUCGGAAUUCAUUUUGAAGGAGUUGUGGGCAUAUUGCUGGGGUGCUUUGGGGAGGAGAUGAGAGAUGGGGAAGUAAUGCACACCAGGUGUUUGAGGUAUGAACAAGGUUAUGGAGGCCAAUAAUUUUAUGGAACAUCAAUCUCGUAGAAAAUUGGAUUUUUGACACCACAGAGACACAUCAGUCAACUUCAUCAUUUCAAAGAUUUGGAGCAUAGAAAUUCACAGAAGCAUGAAGAAGACUUGAGGUUGCUGGUUGCAGUUGAUGUUGC
Molecule: long non-coding RNA, 396 nt
Organism: Diospyros lotus (date-plum)
Lineage: Eukaryota; Viridiplantae; Streptophyta; Magnoliopsida; Ericales; Ebenaceae
Exons: 3
Source: RefSeq, a predicted model, not a curated record